GCCUCGGUUGCUUCUCCGUCAAAUAGAGAGGGCGCCCCAUGGCCCUUGAGGGCCCUCCCCGUCUAUGGUUCUGGGACCGCACAUGCGAGCAUCCCUUGGGUGCUGAGGGGGCUGGAGGAAAGGGGGCGGGACUGCUGCCAAGCAGCCAAUCAGGGGAGUCCGUGAGAGCCGCGCUGCCUGCCCCUAGCGGUCAAGGCCAGGAGCAGACACGCGAGGCUCGGGAGGCGUGACCUUGGAGGAGGCGUGCUCAUUCUCCGGAAGACCCCGGGAGGGGCGGCAUGGAGGGGAGCAGCUCUCAGGGAGACCUGGCCAAAACAACCUACCAAAGCAAAGACAGCCCUGCAACUCCAGAGGCAGAAUAAGGAAGAGGAAGUGUUACCUGGAACAUGGUCACAGCCUCCACAGGCAGUGACUCCCAUCACAGAGCAUCAGUCCAACGACAGUGAAACCAGUGAUGCGCCCAAAGAAGUGGAUGGAUGUGCAGCAAAUCAAGCAGCUUUAGGAAGAGAGACACUAGAGGAACCGGCCUUUCAGCAAGAGAAGCCUGAGGUCCCCUGUGACCCCAGAUACCAGCAGAUUGGGGAGACCAUGCUGGAGGAAUUGAGAAACCUGUCCCGAACCCAGCAGGAGAUGUCUGUGGUCAGCAUGUACAUUGCCAAAGCCCUCCAGUACCAGCAAGAACAGCUGAUCCCGGGCAUCCAUCUUCUAAAUCACAACAUGUACCAGCUCUGCCUGCUAUUGGCCAACCAGACGGAGGCCUCCCUCCACUCCGGGCCCUUUCUCCCCGAGAUGAUCAAUCCCAGCAUUGUCUUCUCUGGAUCUCCAGUUCCACAGCCUUAUCCUUCAGACUUUGAGCCUUCCGGUGGUGCCCACCCCAAGUAGGCUUCAGUUCUCUGAGAUGCAGCUCACAUUACCUUGGUUUCUUGGAAUGCAUUCUGUCUAAGUAAAUUUCAUGUGUUCCCCCUGUUUGGAAGGUUUGAGAUAAAGAUUUGGAUUCUAUCCCUCAGACUCUGCCUCUUUCA
RNAcentral lists this long non-coding RNA (1022 nucleotides) under Phascolarctos cinereus (koala). Its description in RNAcentral is "lncRNA (ENSPCIG00000030157.2)". The record is from RNAcentral. Lineage: Eukaryota; Metazoa; Chordata; Mammalia; Diprotodontia; Phascolarctidae.